AUACUUACCUGGCAGGGGAGAUACCACAAUCACAAAGGUAGUUUUCCUAGGGUGAGGCUCACCCAUUGCACUCCGAAGGUGCUGAACCCCUCGAUUUCCCCAAAUGUGGGAAACUACUUGACUGCAUCAUGUGUGGCCGUGGGUGACUUCGUUCACCAUCUCCCCUA
This 167-nucleotide small nuclear RNA is filed under the name Sorex araneus (European shrew). Its description in RNAcentral is "U1 spliceosomal RNA (ENSSARG00000016772.1)". It matches the Rfam family "U1 spliceosomal RNA". From Rfam's summary of the family: U1 is a small nuclear RNA (snRNA) component of the spliceosome (involved in pre-mRNA splicing). Its 5' end forms complementary base pairs with the 5' splice junction, thus defining the 5' donor site of an intron. The record is from RNAcentral. Lineage: Eukaryota; Metazoa; Chordata; Mammalia; Eulipotyphla; Soricidae.